Molecule: long non-coding RNA, 580 nt
Organism: Ruditapes philippinarum (Manila clam)
Lineage: Eukaryota; Metazoa; Mollusca; Bivalvia; Venerida; Veneridae
Exons: 4
Source: RefSeq, a predicted model, not a curated record
GAAAUUUUUCAAAAUAUGGGUGAUUUAUUCUGUUUUAUAACUUCUCAUCCAGUUUCAUCAUGGGCUCAGGAGGAUUGACUAUUAGUUGACCAAAAUAAGCAUAGUUAUUAUAUGGCAUGUUGGGAGUUUCAUCAUAAGUAUAAAUUUUUAUGCUAUUGGACUUUAAUUAUUUCAGGCUGGGUUUCUGAUGUCUUCAUACCUCCAGAUAAUUGGAUUCUUAAACUUAACAGCAAGAAAUGGAAAAUCCAUGUUGUUUUAAGGAAAGCAGAGCAACAAGAAAAUCAUGUACAAGAGCCUAUGAAACAAAACAGAAAAGUAAAAUUGUGACAGGCAUAUGUGCAAGGGAGGCAACUUAAAUUGGGUUUUUUGACCAGCUGGCCCAGUAUGUAACUAAAAAAGAUUGAGAAGUUACAUAUAUAAUCAGUGGAAGGGAGACAACUCAUAUUUUGAUCCCUUGACCAACUAUCCAGACAGAUUUUAUUAUGAAAUGUGAAGAAAGUACAGUUUCAGAUGGCAUUUUUCAGACAGAAAUUUGUGUUGGAAUGAUGGCGAUCUCUUCUAUCAGUAAGAGAAUGAGGUA